UACGAAGGGGGCUAGCGUUGCUCGGAAUCACUGGGCGUAAAGGGUGCGUAGGCGGGUCUUUUAAGUCAGGGGUGAAAUCCUGGAGCUCAACUCCAGAACUGCCUUUGAUACUGAAGAUCUUGAGUUCGGGAGAGGUGAGUGGAACUGCGAGUGUAGAGGUGAAAUUCGUAGAUAUUGGGAAGAACACCGGUGGCGAAGGCGGCUCACUGGCUCAUUACUGACGCUCAGGCGCGAUAGCGUGGGGAUCAAACAGG
RNAcentral lists this ribosomal RNA (254 nucleotides) under uncultured bacterium. RNAcentral describes it as "partial 16S ribosomal RNA". It matches the Rfam family "Bacterial small subunit ribosomal RNA", at positions 524 to 776 of the family's 1533-position model. The record is from RNAcentral.